AGCCCAAACCAACAAGCUUGCUUGUUGGGGUUGUAGGACACUCUAUACGGAGUUACAAAAGAACAUGUUAGACGAAUCAUCUGGAAAGAUGAAUCAAAGAAGGUAAUAAUCCUGUAGUCGAAAACAUAUUCUCUCUUGAGUGGAUCCUGAGUACGACGGAGCACGUGAAAUUCCGUCGGAAUCUGGGAGGACCAUCUCCUAAGGCUAAAUACUCUCUAGUGACCGAUAGUGAACCAGUACCGUGAGGGAAAGGUGAAAAGUACCCCGGAAGGGGAGUGAAAGAGAACUUGAAACCGUGUGCUUACAAGUAGUCAGAGCCCGUUAAUGGGUGAUGGCGUGCCUUUUGUAGAAUGAACCGGCGAGUUACGAUCUGAUGCAAGGUUAAGCAGCAAAUGUGGAGCCGCAGCGAAAGCGAGUCUGAAUAGGGCGUUGAGUAUUUGGUCGUAGACCCGAAACCAGGUGAUCUACCCYUGGUCAGGUUGAAGUUCAGGUAACACUGAAUGGAGGACCGAACCGACUUACGUUGAAAAGUGAGCGGAUGAACUGAGGGUAGCGGAGAAAUUCCAAUCGAACUUGGAGAUAGCUGGUUCUCUCCGAAAUAGCUUUAGGGCUAGCCUCAAGUGAUGAUUAUUGGAGGUAGAGCACUGUUUGGACGAGGGGCCCCUCUCGGGUUACCGAAUUCAGACAAACUCCGAAUGCCAAUUAAUUUAACUUGGGAGUCAGAACAUGGGUGAUAAGGUCCGUGUUCGAAAGGGAAACAGCCCAGACCACCAGCUAAGGUCCCAAAAUAUAUGUUAAGUGGAAAAGGAUGUGGCGUUGCCCAGACAACUAGGAUGUUGGCUUAGAAGCAGCCAUCAUUUAAAGAGUGCGUAAUAGCUCACUAGUCGAGUGACACUGCGCCGAAAAUGUACCGGGGCUAAACAUAUUACCGAAGCUGUGGAUUGUCCUUUGGACAAUGGUAGGAGAGCGUUCUAAGGGCGUCGAAGCAUGAUCGCAAGGACAUGUGGAGCGCUUAGAAGUGAGAAUGCCGGUGUGAGUAGCGAAAGACGGGUGAGAAUCCCGUCCACCGAUUGACUAAGGUUUCCAGAGGAAGGCUCGUCCGCUCUGGGUUAGUCGGGUCCUAAGCUGAGGCCGACAGGCGUAGGCGAUGGAUAACAGGUUGAUAUUCCUGUACCACCUAGUAUCGUUUUAAUCGAUGGGGGGACGCAGUAGGAUAGGCGAAGCGUGCUGUUGGAGUGCACGUCCAAGCAGUAAGGCUGAGUGUUAGGCAAAUCCGGCACUCAUAAGGCUGAGCUGUGAUGGGGAGAGGAAAUUGUUUCCUCGAGUCGUUGAUUUCACACUGCCGAGAAAAGCCUCUAGAUAGAUAACAGGUGCCCGUACCGCAAACCGACACAGGUAGUCAAGAUGAGAAUUCUAAGGUGAGCGAGCGAACUCUCGUUAAGGAACUCGGCAAAAUGACCCCGUAACUUCGGGAGAAGGGGUGCUCUUUAGGGUUCACGCCCAGAAGAGCCGCAGUGAAUAGGCCCAAGCGACUGUUUAUCAAAAACACAGGUCUCUGCUAAACCGUAAGGUGAUGUAUAGGGGCUGACGCCUGCCCGGUGCUGGAAGGUUAAGAGGAGUGGUUAGCUUCUGCGAAGCUACGAAUCGAAGCCCCAGUAAACGGCGGCCGUAACUAUAACGGUCCUAAGGUAGCGAAAUUCCUUGUCGGGUAAGUUCCGACCCGCACGAAAGGCGUAACGAUUUGGGCACUGUCUCAACGAGAGACUCGGUGAAAUCAUAGUACCUGUGAAGAUGCAGGUUACCCGCGACAGGACGGAAAGACCCCGUGGAGCUUUACUGUAGCCUGAUAUUGAAAUUCGGCACAGCUUGUACAGGAUAGGUAGGAGCCUUUGAAACGUGAGCGCUAGCUUACGUGGAGGCGUUGGUGGGAUACUACCCUAGCUGUGUUGGCUUUCUAACCCGCACCACUUAUCGUGGUGGGAGACAGUGUCAGGCGGGCAGUUUGACUGGGGCGGUCGCCUCCUAAAAGGUAACGGAGGCGCUCAAAGGUUCCCUCAGAAUGGUUGGAAAUCAUUCAUAGAGUGUAAAGGCAUAAGGGAGCUUGACUGCGAGACCUACAAGUCGAGCAGGGUCGAAAGACGGACUUAGUGAYCCGGUGGUUCCGCAUGGAAGGGCCAUCGCUCAACGGAUAAAAGCUACCCCGGGGAUAACAGGCUUAUCUCCCCCAAGAGUUCACAUCGACGGGGAGGUUUGGCACCUCGAUGUCGGCUCAUCGCAUCCUGGGGCUGUAGUCGGUCCCAAGGGUUGGGCUGUUCGCCCAUUAAAGCGGUACGCGAGCUGGGUUCAGAACGUCGUGAGACAGUUCGGUCCCUAUCCGUCGUGGGCGUAGGAAAUUUGAGAGGAGCUGUCCUUAGUACGAGAGGACCGGGAUGGACAUACCUCUGGUGUACCAGUUGUCGUGCCAACGGCAUAGCUGGGUAGCUAUGUAUGGACGGGAUAAGUGCUGAAAGCAUCUAAGCAUGAAGCCCCCCUCAAGAUGAGAUUUCCCAACUUCGGUUAUAAGAUCYCUCGAAGAUGACGAGGUUAAUAGGUUCGAGGUGGAAGCGUGGUGACACGUGGAGCUGACGAAUACUAAUCGAUCGAAGACUUAAUCAAUUUUUAAA
Molecule: ribosomal RNA, 2663 nt
Filed under: Staphylococcus epidermidis
Lineage: Bacteria; Bacillati; Bacillota; Bacilli; Caryophanales; Staphylococcaceae
Description: partial 23S ribosomal RNA
Source: RNAcentral